Molecule: ribosomal RNA, 305 nt
Filed under: uncultured bacterium
Lineage: Bacteria
Description: bacterial SSU rRNA
Rfam family: Bacterial small subunit ribosomal RNA
Source: RNAcentral
CGACCUACGGGACGCAGCAGUGGGGAAUAUUGGGCAAUGGGCGCAAGCCUGACCCAGCAACGCCGCGUGAAGGAAGAAGGCUUUCGGGUUGUAAACUUCUUUUAAGAGGGAAGAGCAGGAGACGGUACCUCUUGAAUAAGCCACGGCUAACUACGUGCCAGCAGCCGCGGUAAUACGUAGGUGGCAAGCGUUGUCCGGAUUUACUGGGUGUAAAGGGCGUGUAGGCGGGAUGGUAAGUCAGAUGUGAAAACUAUGGGCUCAACCCAUAGCCUGCAUUUGAAACUAUCGUUCUUGAGUGUUGGAGA